CAGCAGCCACGGUAAUACGUAGGGUGCGAGCGUUAAUCGGAAUUACUGGGCGUAAAGCGUGCGCAGGCGGUUAUGUAAGACAGAUGUGAAAUCCCCGGGCUCAACCUGGGAACUGCAUUUGUGACUGCAUGGCUAGAGUACGGUAGAGGGGGAUGGAAUUCCGCGUGUAGCAGUGAAAUGCGUAGAUAUGCGGAGGAACACCGAUGGCGAAGGCAAUCCCCUGGACCUGUACUGACGCUCAUGCACGAAAGCGUGGGGAGCAAACAGGAUUAGAUACCCGAGUAGUCCCUGUCUCUUAUAC
This 301-nucleotide ribosomal RNA is filed under the name uncultured bacterium. RNAcentral's name for it is "partial 16S ribosomal RNA". It matches the Rfam family "Bacterial small subunit ribosomal RNA", at positions 509 to 807 of the family's 1533-position model. The record is from RNAcentral.